This 464-nucleotide ribosomal RNA is filed under the name Vreelandella stevensii. Its description in RNAcentral is "partial 16S ribosomal RNA". It matches the Rfam family "Bacterial small subunit ribosomal RNA", at positions 338 to 795 of the family's 1533-position model. The record is from RNAcentral. Lineage: Bacteria; Pseudomonadati; Pseudomonadota; Gammaproteobacteria; Oceanospirillales; Halomonadaceae.
CCUACGGGAGGCAGCAGUGGGGAAUAUUGGACAAUGGGCGAAAGCCUGAUCCAGCCAUGCCGCGUGUGUGAAGAAGGCCUUCGGGUUGUAAAGCACUUUCAGUGGGGAAGAAAGCCUUGGGGCUAAUACCCUCGAGGAAGGACAUCACCCACAGAAGAAGCACCGGCUAACUCCGUGCCAGCAGCCGCGGUAAUACGGAGGGUGCGAGCGUUAAUCGGAAUUACUGGGCGUAAAGCGCGCGUAGGCGGUCUGAUAAGCCGGUUGUGAAAGCCCCGGGCUCAACCUGGGAACGGCAUCCGGAACUGUCAGGCUAGAGUGCAGGAGAGGAAGGUAGAAUUCCCGGUGUAGCGGUGAAAUGCGUAGAGAUCGGGAGGAAUACCAGUGGCGAAGGCGGCCUUCUGGACUGACACUGACGCUGAGGUGCGAAAGCGUGGGUAGCAAACAGGAUUAGAUACCCCGGAGUC